UUAUUGAGUAAUAUGGAUAGAUAGGUUAAGUAUAUAAUGUACAUAUUAUUUACAAUAAUAAAGACUAAAUAAUAGAACUUACUU
RNAcentral lists this transfer RNA (84 nucleotides) under Fastosarion rowani. Its description in RNAcentral is "tRNA-Val". The record is from RNAcentral. Lineage: Eukaryota; Metazoa; Mollusca; Gastropoda; Stylommatophora; Helicarionidae.